This 133-nucleotide ribosomal RNA is filed under the name uncultured bacterium. Its description in RNAcentral is "partial 16S ribosomal RNA". The record is from RNAcentral.
AUUCACCAGGUACCGUCAAUUCAGGACUAAUCCCGAGUUUCUUCCCUGGCAAAGCCGUUUACAACCCAUAGGGCCGUCAUCCGGCACGCGGCGUGGCUGCGUCAGGCUUUCGCCCAUUGCGCAAGAUUCCUCA